Molecule: long non-coding RNA, 477 nt
Organism: Haemorhous mexicanus (house finch)
Lineage: Eukaryota; Metazoa; Chordata; Aves; Passeriformes; Fringillidae
Exons: 2
Source: RefSeq, a predicted model, not a curated record
UGGAAAAGGAGAAAAGGAGGAGAAAGGAAACCCCGGGAGCUCCCCCUGCCACGGCAGCUGGUUUGGCUUAGGAGGAGCAAAAUGUGCCCCUGGGGCUGCCCAGGGACCACCCGGGCCGGGAGAGCCCCUCGGGCUUCGGGCCGCCUGGCAGCGAUUUGUGUUUCCUAACGGCGCCGUUGUGUAACGGAGCGGUUCCCGUGGCCCGGGCACGUGUCCGGGAGCUGCGGGGACACCGGGAACCGGCCCUGCCCAACCCCCAGCCCUGGCAAAACCCCCGAGUGUCCCCCCCAGCCCUGGCAGACCCCCCGAGUGUCCCCCAGACCCCCCCAGCUGGGCAGAGGGACAAAAACGGGGACGAAGCCGCGGCUGCUCCGAUGCUUAGGGUGGGAAAUUCCCCAAACCCCAGCUCGGGGAGGGUCUUUAAAUUUCGGCAGGAAAAAAAAAAAAAAAAAACCGAGGCUGAGCCUCGUCACCCCC